UUGGUUACAUUUUUGUAGCAAUUUAACAUUCUAAGCAUCUUAGCACCAUGAGGAUAGAAGAGCUACAAAGCAGUAUAGAGGCAUAAGAGUUGCAUCUGACUGAGAGAAAGUCUGAAAAGGAGGUAGAGCAACAGGCUCUAAAAGCAGCUUCUAGUAAGAAAUAUCAAAUGCAGUCUUGGACAUUAGCAAAGAAGAGAUCUAAUUGUGUUCAAAAUUUAAAAACCUCAACUUCUAGAAGGUAAAAGAGUGCUCAUAAGGGGAAGGAGGAGUAUGAC
This 275-nucleotide long non-coding RNA is filed under the name Lathyrus oleraceus (garden pea). Its description in RNAcentral is "Pisum sativum (pea) long non-coding RNA (PSAT_LNC027405)". The record is from RNAcentral. Lineage: Eukaryota; Viridiplantae; Streptophyta; Magnoliopsida; Fabales; Fabaceae.